GACACGUGACCUCCGUUCUCCAGGCCGCUCCGGAGGUGACGUCAGACACGGCGGCCGGAUGAUCCUCGGUGAGACAUGGCGAGAAGAAAAGGCCGUCCGCGCCUUCGCGAGAACUCGCCGCGAUAUUCCCGGGAAAUUCGCGCCAUUGGAAGCCAGCACGUAGGGCCGAAGCGCGAAGACGAAGACGGUUAGAACAGACGGACGUCGCGGUCGCUAGAUCGAGAAAAACGACGCGAUGUAACGGAUGCAUCGUUUUCGAAAAAGUGUCUGAGACGUUGGGUGCCUGUCUGGAAUUCGCGCGCACGCGCUCAUCCUCUGGCUUCGGAUACAAUCGUUGAAGAACGGACGACCUUCUCCGAGGCCUCGCGCAGUCUUCCUACAUGGAACAAAAAAGGUAUCCUUUGGGUCAUGGAACCUUCGAUGGAUAUAGGCUAUAGGUUUCUUCGUAUGCCUUCACCCGGCUGGUCUUCAUUGUUCGCUGCGCGACGGCACGACGGGAACUCGUUCUGGAAACGAAACUGGUAUCACGUCGGCAUGUGAGCUCACAUAUGUAUAGGGUGAUAAAAACAUCGCCGUCGUAAGAUUCGGGAACUGUUGCUACGUGUCGGAACGGUGCGUAAAAUGAAGCGCAAGCACGCGUAAAAAGGCGCGGCUUCUAAGUUACGGCGGUUUUAACGUGGUCGACAAGUUAAGAGGAAAAGUAUCGAAUGUUGCAUCGACAAUCACACGCUUAAGCGUGGACCCCCGUCCGAAUUUAUGAUGUAUAUUUCUUAUAUCACUGUGCACACGCGGUAGACGAGAAAAUGAAACGCGGGUGUAUACGUCGUCAUUUAUUAUUUAUAUAAAUACGCGAUAAGGAGUUACGUAAACGUGGAAGAAUAAGCUCGUAGUGGAUUACAUGAGUCAUUGAAGGUACAAGCUCAAGGAAGUAUAAGCGGAUAUAUAAAGUGUUAAGUAAAAUUUAUAUAUAUACACACACACACAUAUAUUUUUACGAAAUACAAGGUAUGUAUUUCGAUUUUUAUGUUUCCCUCCUCGAAAACUGUUCUUUUGCAAAUCUGGAUAAUUUAAUGUCACAGAUGUAAGUAUGCUACUUACUACUUUUUUAUUGUUUUAUAUUACUUAAUAUUUUUUUACUGUUCCGAAUUUUAACGGUAAAUUUACAGGUGGAAAUUAGCGUUUUAUCCGGCUUAAAUUCAGGAACAUCGAAACUCACGACGCGCAAAUCACCCUCACCUUUCUCCCCAAAGAAUGCCCCCGCUAUAUUCGCGCCAGCACGUUUUACGACCGCGCUCUAGUCUAUUUGCAUUUCUACCGCCUUCUAAGGACGUUCAGUGCUCCGUGAGAAAAGCAGUGCUACACCGAGAGGAAUGCGAGGAAUUCACUUAAUAACAACUUCGCCUCUGUGUAUAUAUGCGGUAAAGCAAAACGGAGAAAUCUGUGCUCGUUUUUCGAUAUUAUAUAUCUCCGCGUUUGCAUCUUUUACUCGGUGCACGCGUUUUCGUUUACGCUCGCUGUCUACGCACGAAGCGGGAUAAAUACCGGAACGCACGCAUAUUGCAUCUUAUAAUACGUAGAUAUCUAGGAAAGAGAUGUCCACGCUUUUAUAUAAAUCUUUCGCAAUGUCGUAAAGUCUGCACAACGCUUUCAAGGUGUUUGACGAGUUUUCGAGCGUCGAAAUAUUCGUGCCUGAAAUACAUAUGUAUUCUUGCGUAAGAAGCGCGCUAUCGUCUUUUUCGAUGUUGAAGCAAAUGGAUACAAAGACAAGCGUUAUAUCGUUAUCUCUUCGCGUGUUACGUCCAGAACAUUGAUUAUGCGAAUGUAAUUAUUAUGGUCGGGCGUUUGGCUCGAUACCCGAUAAACGUGUGCCGUAUUUGAAAUCGAUGACGAUCGGCCUUCGCGCGAUGUGCACUAAAUUUCUGUUUACGCACAUUGCUACGUAUGUCACGUAUCGAUGACUCAAUCGCCUGUAUUGGAAAUCUUAACGGGCGUACGUGUCCCGAGAUGUGUCUUUGGCGGAACGUUAUUUCUGUUCUGAAGAUGAAGUAUGUACAUCCUUUGCGAUUUGUCCGCGAGUUCAUAUAAGGAUAAUGUUCCAAUUAGUGAUCGAGCAACCCCAUCGUGAAAAUAAAUUAAUAAUAUACGUUUCAAAUUAACGACACAUACAAAGUUCAUUUUGUUGGGAAGUUUUAAUAUGUGGGAUUUUUUAAUUGUAUUCUAUUUUUCUAAGUUAUGGAAAGAUUUCAACAUUUUUAUGUUUUCUCAGAAAUGACCGAGAUAGACAUUUAGUGAGACGGCAGUUUAGUUUUGAUGAACUUGAGUAACUACAUAAAAACCUAACAGACAUUAAAUCAUAUCAAUUUUCUAAAGUGUCGGCGAGGAAUUGUCAUCGUCAGUAAACAGUAAUACGCUCGUAGCUUACGACGAUUUACCAUCUACGCUAUGCGGCUUUUAAUUUUAUUCGAAAUUUGUUACAACCGAUGACGUAUAAAAUGUAAGAAAAGAGUACACACACACGUUUAUAGGAUGGACAUCGACUCGCAUUACUUGUAUUAUUACUUGUAUAGGUGCAAUUAUCACGAAAAUCGGGAUACUCUCUAAUUCGGGCACAUUCGCCUUAUUUAUAAUAGAAAAUCAAUUGAUCGAAAUGUGCGAGAUUCGCUUUAGGUUUCUCGAAACGCGAUCUACGAUAACAGAGGGACCACACACACGCGCACUCAGCUGCCAAGUGCAUUACGCUAUUGCGUGAGACAAUGCACCGUGCAGUGGUGCGAUGCGCGCCAAGGUCGCGGUCACAUACGUACGUAAGUGGCGAGUAUUCUCCGAGAGUACCUCUCGGAGAGGCACUCGUACGAGCAGCACCAACACGCAUACACCGUGCGUGUAUUCGCGCGACUCGCGAGUAUAGUCGCGCGCGAAGAAGCGUUAAGGGCAAAGGCCUUGUUGCGGCGUGCUCUUUUUGCGGGAUUGGCGGUGAAUCGAAAUCACGGUGCGAACGAGACGAUAUCCUUGACAGUGCGAUGCGCCGCGCGUGUUUUAUAAUAUUUUUAUUUGCGAGCCAAGAGAGACUCGGGAGUCAACGUCAUCAUCACGUAUCGAAACGUGACUCGGGACGUGUCGCAAACGUAAGCCUGUGAGACAUGUUUGCCGUGCACGCGAUCGUCCUCCGUGUUAAUUAUAAUGUAUUUUUGCACUCACCUGACGGUGAAGUACCAAGUGUUUAGGUGCGAGGCGUGUAUUCUCCCAAUAUUUUUCGAGUUCUGCUUACGAGACUUGCUUCUCUUUCAUUGCACUGUGAUCACGCAAAUUCUAUAUUUUUUAAUUCCAGUGUGAAAUUCCUGACAGAAUGCGUGCUUCUGAGGCAUGUUGAUAUUCGUUUUUGGAGAGCUAUUUUGGAGAAAUUUUGUACUAUGCAUGUCACGUUAUUUUCUGAGAAUUCUCUCUC
This is a long non-coding RNA of Harpegnathos saltator (Jerdon's jumping ant), 3445 nucleotides long. RefSeq lists it as uncharacterized. The transcript is spliced from 3 exons. The record is from RefSeq and is a predicted model, not a curated record. Lineage: Eukaryota; Metazoa; Arthropoda; Insecta; Hymenoptera; Formicidae.